AGGUUGUUUACUGGAGCUACAAAGAAGUUAAACUUUAAAAUGGAGGAUAAAGAACUAAACAUACUGACAUGCUGAUUCUUUGAAGAGAAAUUCAGGACUGACUGC
This is a long non-coding RNA of Sapajus apella (tufted capuchin), 105 nucleotides long. RefSeq lists it as uncharacterized. The record is from RefSeq and is a predicted model, not a curated record. Lineage: Eukaryota; Metazoa; Chordata; Mammalia; Primates; Cebidae. The transcript is spliced from 3 exons.